This 752-nucleotide ribosomal RNA is filed under the name Bacillus cereus. RNAcentral's name for it is "bacterial SSU rRNA". It matches the Rfam family "Bacterial small subunit ribosomal RNA", at positions 37 to 769 of the family's 1533-position model. The record is from RNAcentral. Lineage: Bacteria; Bacillati; Bacillota; Bacilli; Caryophanales; Bacillaceae.
GGGAGGGGGGGCUAAUACAUGCAAGUCGAGCGAAUGGAUUAAGAGCUUGCUCUUAUGAAGUUAGCGGCGGACGGGUGAGUAACACGUGGGUAACCUGCCCAUAAGACUGGGAUAACUCCGGGAAACCGGGGCUAAUACCGGAUAACAUUUUGAACCGCAUGGUUCGAAAUUGAAAGGCGGCUUCGGCUGUCACUUAUGGAUGGACCCGCGUCGCAUUAGCUAGUUGGUGAGGUAACGGCUCACCAAGGCAACGAUGCGUAGCCGACCUGAGAGGGUGAUCGGCCACACUGGGACUGAGACACGGCCCAGACUCCUACGGGAGGCAGCAGUAGGGAAUCUUCCGCAAUGGACGAAAGUCUGACGGAGCAACGCCGCGUGAGUGAUGAAGGCUUUCGGGUCGUAAAACUCUGUUGUUAGGGAAGAACAAGUGCUAGUUGAAUAAGCUGGCACCUUGACGGUACCUAACCAGAAAGCCACGGCUAACUACGUGCCAGCAGCCGCGGUAAUACGUAGGUGGCAAGCGUUAUCCGGAAUUAUUGGGCGUAAAGCGCGCGCAGGUGGUUUCUUAAGUCUGAUGUGAAAGCCCACGGCUCAACCGUGGAGGGUCAUUGGAAACUGGGAGACUUGAGUGCAGAAGAGGAAAGUGGAAUUCCAUGUGUAGCGGUGAAAUGCGUAGAGAUAUGGAGGAACACCAGUGGCGAAGGCGACUUUCUGGUCUGUAACUGACACUGAGGCGCGAAAGCGUGGGCACG